AAAAAAACAUGUUGUGGAAAAUACCGGAAUGUCCCUUUACUUCUAAAUUGCUCCACGUGGACAUCUUCAUCAUCUUUCCCUAUUCUAACUUUUGUUUCUUUCAUUGCAUGCUUUGAAAAGACAAAAUAUUUUUCAAAAUGAGACUGCAUAAAGUAUCAUCAUUAGCCUGCAAACUAUUCUCAUGAUCAAUGCAUUUUUUUCAAAAUCUUUUUUUCAUUUCUCUCUCCCACUACCUUUUCAUUUCUUUCUACCACUACCACUACUCUACCCACUUUAUUUCCUUCUUCCUAUUUUCUUUCUUCCACUUCUUCCCCUUCUUUCUUCAUCAUCUUCUUAUUAUAUUUUUCUCUCUUUCAAAAUGAUUUACAAAAAAGGUUUACGAAAAAAAAUUGUUUAUGAAAAUGGUUUAUAAAUAUUUUGAUUAUUAUUUCUUCUCCUUAUUUUUAUUUUUUUAGAAAUGGUUAACAAAAAUUAUUUCUUCCAAAAAUUCUUGCAAAAACUUGUCUUCAUAAGAAGAAAAAAUAUUUUUAUUGAUGCAUGGUUAAUGAUUGGUUUGACUCAUUAUUUUCUUGAUUAGCUUUUUAAAUAGGUUUGUUGAGGAAGUAAGUGUUCAUCUUCUUCAUCCGAAUGCAGAGACUAUUAGAUAGAGGUUGAGGAUGAGAUUCUUGAAGAGUUGGAGUUUUGGGUUUGAUUUUUUGAUUUUGUUAAUUGUAUGUUGAAGGAAUUUGUUAAAAAGGAUGAUUGUGUUCAAAAUUUUGGUUGAAGUUCUUGAUUUAUCUGAGUUUGUGGAUGAAUAUGUCAGAAAUGUGAUUGAAAUUUUGGUUGUUGUUC
Molecule: long non-coding RNA, 831 nt
Organism: Vicia villosa (hairy vetch)
Lineage: Eukaryota; Viridiplantae; Streptophyta; Magnoliopsida; Fabales; Fabaceae
Exons: 2
Source: RefSeq, a predicted model, not a curated record